GGCGUCAGGACGAACGCUGGCGGCGUGCCUAACACAUGCAAGUCGAGCGGGACGAUGCGACGGAGACGAAGUACUCGUACGGAGUCAAAGAUGUAAUGUUCUAGCGGCGGACGGGUGGAGUAACGACGUGAGCAACCUGUCCCUUACAGGGGGAUAACACAGCGAAAGUUGUACUAAUACCGCAUAAGACCACAGAGUGACAUCGCUCAGGGGUCAAAGGAGCAAUCCGGUAAGGGGUGGGCUCGCGUCCGAUUAGAUAGUUGGUGAGGUAACGGCCCACCAAGUCGACGAUCGGUAGCCGACCUGAGAGGGUGAUCGGCCACAUUGGGACUGAGACACGGCCCAAACUCCUACGGGAGGCAGCAGUGGGGAAUAUUGGGCAAUGGGGGGAAACCCUGACCCAGCAACGCCGCGUGAGGGAAGAAGGUUUUCGGAUCGUAAACCUCUGUCCCAGGUGAAGAGGAAGAGACGGUAGCCUGGGAGGAAGCCCCGGCUAACUACGUGCCAGCCGCUGC
RNAcentral lists this ribosomal RNA (515 nucleotides) under uncultured bacterium. RNAcentral's name for it is "bacterial SSU rRNA". It matches the Rfam family "Bacterial small subunit ribosomal RNA", at positions 26 to 518 of the family's 1533-position model. The record is from RNAcentral.